Molecule: long non-coding RNA, 266 nt
Filed under: Elaeis guineensis (African oil palm)
Lineage: Eukaryota; Viridiplantae; Streptophyta; Magnoliopsida; Arecales; Arecaceae
Description: long non-coding RNA (EGUI_LNC023661)
Source: RNAcentral
UGUAACAACAAUUGGAAAAGUCUCAGGUCGCCUAGAAAAUAAGGUACCCAAAAAGUACUUGUUGCCGGACAUUGUCCUACUUCUAUUAGGACUCUAUUUCUGGUAUUAUUACACUUAGUUACUCCUUAUAAAGGUUAUUAAAGUUUGUUUUCUGGUGAAUUUUAGCUUUUUGAAUUUAGGUAGAAGCCAAAUAUUCUACCCGCAUGAUGCUAUGUUUCAAGGGCCUUUGGCAUUUCUUUUGGAUGGUUUGGGAAGAGAGGGGGAAA